RNAcentral lists this long non-coding RNA (498 nucleotides) under Oryzias javanicus (javanese ricefish). Its description in RNAcentral is "lncRNA (ENSOJAG00000007388.1)". The record is from RNAcentral. Lineage: Eukaryota; Metazoa; Chordata; Actinopteri; Beloniformes; Adrianichthyidae.
GUCACACGCACAUACAAGCUGUGUCCAAAUUUGGUUCUGCAUCCUCCUGAGGCCGUGGCCUUCGCGAUCUCCGAUGGCCAGGUCCUUAGAGUUGGAGCAGAUCCAUCGCUGUCGCUUACCGGCGGAGACGAUCUGCAGACUAGACUCCUGCAAUGCACAACCAGUCUCAUAAUCCUGGAGCGGUUUUCCAACAGCGAAGAUCCCAGACCAGACUUCAGAAAACUGGAACUCUCCUGCAUCUUCCUGAACCUCUUUGACCAGGAUUGGUGACAUCAGCAUCCUCCUGCAAGUUCUGGAGGUUAUGCCAUCCUCCACAACAUCUGCCUCUGUGCUGACGACACCGAAACUCCAGAGGAUGAGCCAGAGGAAGAUGUGGAGGAGCCUGGUUUGGAGGCCACCAGCGGUGCUCUAGGUCAGGACCAACUACCCGCUGAGGUUUCUUCCCUGGAGGAUGUACCACCAGACCUUGAAUACUGGCAACAGGUAGUUCCAGCCCCG